GACAGAGGGGGCAAGCGUUGCUCGGAAUUACUGGGCGUAAAGGGCGCGUAGGCGGGAUGGCAAGUCGGUCGUGAAAGCCUUCGGCUCAACCGAAGAACGUCGGCCGAUACUGCCGUUCUUGAGGGAUGCAGAGGAGACUGGAAUUCCCGGUGUAGCGGUGAAAUGUGUAGAGAUCGGGAGGAACACCGGUGGCGAAGGCGGGUCUCUGGGCAUCUCCUGACGCUGAGGCGCGAAAGCGUGGGGAGCAAACAGG
Molecule: ribosomal RNA, 253 nt
Filed under: uncultured bacterium
Lineage: Bacteria
Description: partial 16S ribosomal RNA
Rfam family: Bacterial small subunit ribosomal RNA
Source: RNAcentral